AACGUAGGGUCCGAGCGUUAUCCGGAUUUACUGGGCGUAAAGCGCGUUCAGGCGGUUUGGCAAGUCGGGCAUGAAAUCUCUCGGCUCAACCGGGAGAGGUUGUCCGAUACUGCUGGACUUGAGGGCAGUAGAGGGUGGUGGAAUUCCGGGUGUAGUGGUGAAAUGCGUAGAUAUCCGGAGGAACACCAGUGGCGAAAGCGGCCACCUGGACUGCACCUGGCGCUGACACGCGAAAGCUAGGGGAGCGAACGGG
Molecule: ribosomal RNA, 253 nt
Filed under: uncultured bacterium
Lineage: Bacteria
Description: partial 16S ribosomal RNA
Rfam family: Bacterial small subunit ribosomal RNA
Source: RNAcentral